GGGAGACAGUGUCAAAGGCUUUGCUGAGGUCUAAGAAGACCACAUCAACAGCCUUUCCUUCAUCUAUUUGACGGGUCACAGGAUCGUGGAAGGAGAUCAGAUUGGUCAAGCAGGACCUGCCCUUCAUGAACCCAUGCUGGGUAGGUCUGAUCUCUUGGUCAUCCCACACCUGCCUCGUGAUCUCCCUCAAGACAAUUUGUUCCUCCUUCCUUAUAGCAUGGAAGACCAGGCUGGAUCGGGCGGUGAGCACCUGGUCUGGAGGGAGGUGUCCCUGCCUAUGACAGGGGGUUGGAACUAGAUGGUCACAAAGUUCCCUUCUAACCCAAACCAUUCUAUGGCUCUAUGAUUCUGUGACAGUUACUGAGUAAGAUCUGAAACAGGAAUCCUGAGCCACAGAACAGGCUCAAUCAUGGAACAGGUUUCCCAGAGAGGUUAUGGAUGCCACACCUCUUCACAUGAACACUUGCAGGUGUUGGAUUGGGCCCUGGCAGCAAGCUACAACAGUAAUCUUUCUAAGAUGGAGAGAACCAGCAAAACAAUAUUUGACAGGAACAUGAGUUCCAGUAAGUACAUUUCUUCAGGCAUCAUUCAACUCUAAAGUAUGGAACAAAUAACAAGCUAGGAAACCAAGGCUGAAUGUAAAACACAAUCAAAACGAUUUGCUGCUUGGCAGAUUAUAAUGGCACUUCUCAGAUCUGUCUGUAAUUAGAGCCCCAAGCUAUAGUACUUUAGUGUGAGAAGCUAAAAAUGGGUUUGCACCACCAAGUUUACAGAGCUCAGAGGGAAACUGGAGUUCAUAAAGUGAAAAGUCUUCGAGGCCAAUGGACAAUGAAAGCCACAGACAGAAUUGCAACCGUUCUCUGGUUCUCAUUUCAAAAGGAGCAUCCACCAAAUGUGAAGCAAAUCUGGAGGUAAAAGCCAUCAUCUUUUCUUUUGUGAUUAAGACAUAACACCUCCACACUACAUGACACCACUAUUUUUCCCUUGUUUCAUUAUUUCAACAGGUGCUGCUCUUGUGGUAGACAGUUCUCUGCCAUAUAUUUUAUUUCUGAAAAGAUCUCAUUUUUCAUACCAAACUUUUCAUUGUUGCUGUGCUUUCCCUUGGAAGAAGAAACUGAAUUUAAUUGCAGUCUAAAGCCUUGCCGGAAUCUGGUCAGAAACCUCAGCUGAAUUACUCGUACAAGGAAAGUCUCCUGCUAUGCACACUGCUGUCCUCACCCUUUGGGCCAGUGAAUGGAUCAGAUUCAUUACAGCAUCAACUGUCCCCACUCCUAGGUCAGAAAAAUUAGUAU
This is a non-coding RNA of Coturnix japonica (Japanese quail), 1292 nucleotides long. The record is from RefSeq and is a predicted model, not a curated record. NCBI's taxonomy places the organism in Eukaryota, Metazoa, Chordata, Aves, Galliformes, Phasianidae.